GCAGUCAUCGUAUAGUGGUGGUACGCCUGCCUUCCAAGCAGGAUGGGCGAGUUCGAUUCUCGUUGGCUGCUCCA
Molecule: transfer RNA, 74 nt
Filed under: Caudoviricetes sp.
Lineage: Duplodnaviria; Heunggongvirae; Uroviricota; Caudoviricetes
Description: tRNA-Gly
Rfam family: tRNA
About the family: Transfer RNA (tRNA) molecules are approximately 80 nucleotides in length. Their secondary structure includes four short double-helical elements and three loops (D, anti-codon, and T loops). Further hydrogen bonds mediate the characteristic L-shaped molecular structure. tRNAs have two regions of fundamental functional importance: the anti-codon, which is responsible for specific mRNA codon recognition, and the 3' end, to which the tRNAs corresponding amino acid is attached (by aminoacyl-tRNA synthetases). tRNAs cope with the degeneracy of the genetic code in two manners: having more than one tRNA (with a specific anti-codon) for a particular amino acid; and 'wobble' base-pairing, i.e. permitting non-standard base-pairing at the 3rd anti-codon position.
Source: RNAcentral